Etheostoma spectabile (orangethroat darter) is the source of this 270-nucleotide long non-coding RNA. RefSeq lists it as uncharacterized. The transcript is spliced from 6 exons. NCBI's taxonomy places the organism in Eukaryota, Metazoa, Chordata, Actinopteri, Perciformes, Percidae. The record is from RefSeq and is a predicted model, not a curated record.
CUACAGUAUACUUGAGGGGUCCAAACAGCUUUGUGGGGCCAAAAUGCUGGAACCCACAACUUUAAAGUGCUUUUUGAGGGUUAAGACGUGGUUUUAGGGUUAGGGUUAGGAUUAGGUUAUGGUUAGGGUUAGAGUAAGGGGCUAGGGAAUGCAUUAUGUCAAUGACGGGUCCCCACGAAGAUAGUGAGACGCACUCUGUGUGAGUGUAUGUGUGUGUGUGUGUGCGUGUGUGUGUGUGUGCUCAGGUUAGGAAAUGAACUAACAAUGUAU